AUGACAUAUUCAUAAACGUAAAAAUUGCAGCACUAAAAUCAAGGCUUUGUUGAAUUGCUAAGAAAAUGUGGGCCGAUAAAAGAAAAACAAACUUGGGUUUUCAAUUGCCGGUGAUCCAAACGCAUAGAGAAACAAAUGCGUACAGUUGAGCGCGCCGGACAGCGUUCAACUGACUAGCAAAAGUUGAACCUUUUUCAAACAUUUGGAACCAAUACAACACGACCCAUAAGACCAAAAUUUCAAAUUUCUUUCCCAUUCCUUGUUUUUCUCAGCAACCAAACAGAAGAAGAAUACCCAGAACCGCACACAACUGA
This 314-nucleotide unclassified non-coding RNA is filed under the name Hevea brasiliensis (rubber tree). Lineage: Eukaryota; Viridiplantae; Streptophyta; Magnoliopsida; Malpighiales; Euphorbiaceae. The record is from RNAcentral.